UGCAUUAAAAUGUGUAAAAGGUUUUCUAGUAACCAAAUGUUUUCUGCCCCAUUGCAAUAGGGAUCUACUGAGAAACAGAAGAGGAGUCUGACAGAUGGGGAGGAUCACAUGCCAAUGUCUGGGAAUGGUUUGGCCACCACAGUGGAAAAACUAUAAGCUCCUAAGCUGUUAAGGAACGCCUCAAAGAGCAAUGGAUAAGCCAGGUACCUUUGGUUCUUGACUCCACCCAAAUAAAAGGGCAUUAAUCAGCAGGUAAUUAAGCAC
This 264-nucleotide long non-coding RNA is filed under the name Rattus norvegicus (Norway rat). RNAcentral describes it as "long non-coding RNA NONRATT033305". Lineage: Eukaryota; Metazoa; Chordata; Mammalia; Rodentia; Muridae. The record is from RNAcentral.